CCUACGGGAGGCAGCAGUGAGGAAUAUUGGUCAAUGGGCGCGAGCCUGAACCAGCCAAGUCGCGUGAGGGAAGACGGUCCUAUGGAUUGUAAACCUCUUUUGUCGGGGAGCAAAAGACGCCACGCGUGGCGUUCCGAGAGUACCCGAAGAAAAAGCAUCGGCUAACUCCGUGCCAGCAGCAGCGGUAAGACGGAGGAUGCGAGCGUUAUCCGGAUUUAUUGGGUUUAAAGGGUGCGCAGGCGGAAGAUCAAGUCAGCGGUAAAAUUGAGAGGCUCAACCUCUACGAGCCGUUGAUACUGGUUUGCUUGAGUGAGCGAGAGGUAUGCGGAAUGCGUGGUGUAGCGGUGAAAUGCAUAGAUAUCACGCAGAACUCCGAUUGCGAAGGCAGCAUACCGGCGCUCAACUGACGCUCAUGCACGAAAGUGUGGGUAUCGAACAGGAUUAGAUACCCUAGUAGUC
This 459-nucleotide ribosomal RNA is filed under the name uncultured bacterium. RNAcentral's name for it is "partial 16S ribosomal RNA". It matches the Rfam family "Bacterial small subunit ribosomal RNA", at positions 338 to 795 of the family's 1533-position model. The record is from RNAcentral.